UGGGGAAUCUUGCGCAAUGGGCGAAAGCCUGACGCAGCAACGCCGCGUGUGUGAUGAAGGUCUUCGGAUCGUAAAGCACUGUCGCGAGGGAAGAUACGCCACGCGCUAACAUCGCGGGGCUAAGACGGUACCUCGAGAGGAAGCACCGGCUAACUCUGUGCCAGCAGCCGCGGUAAUACAGAGGGUGCGAGCGUUGUUCGGAAUUAUUGGGCGUAAAGCGCUUGUAGGCGGCCUGUCAAGUCGCGUGUGAAAUCCCCUGGCUUAACCAGGGAAGUGCGCGCGAAACUGGCGGGCUUGAGUGCCGGAGAGGGUCGCGGAAUUCCCGGUGUAGAGGUGAAAUUCGUAGAUAUCGGGAGGAACACCAGUGGCGAAGGCGGCGACCUGGACGGACACUGACGCUGAGACGCGAAAGCGUGGGGAGCAAACAG
RNAcentral lists this ribosomal RNA (428 nucleotides) under uncultured bacterium. RNAcentral's name for it is "bacterial SSU rRNA". It matches the Rfam family "Bacterial small subunit ribosomal RNA", at positions 355 to 775 of the family's 1533-position model. The record is from RNAcentral.